UACGGAGGGUGCAAGCGUUAUCCGGAUUUACUGGGUUUAAAGGGUGCGUAGGUGGGUCUGUAAGUCAGUGGUGAAAUCUCCGGGCUUAACCCGGAAACUGCCAUUGAUACUAUAGAUCUUGAAUAUCCUGGAGGUGAGCGGAAUAUGUCAUGUAGCGGUGAAAUGCUUAGAUAUGACAUAGAACACCAAUUGCGAAGGCAGCUCACUACGGUAUCAUUGACACUGAGGCACGAAAGCGUGGGGAGCAAACAGG
Molecule: ribosomal RNA, 253 nt
Filed under: uncultured bacterium
Lineage: Bacteria
Description: partial 16S ribosomal RNA
Rfam family: Bacterial small subunit ribosomal RNA
Source: RNAcentral